Molecule: non-coding RNA, 851 nt
Organism: Salvia hispanica
Lineage: Eukaryota; Viridiplantae; Streptophyta; Magnoliopsida; Lamiales; Lamiaceae
Source: RefSeq, a predicted model, not a curated record
CUCCCCUUCAUUCUCCUUCACUUCUUCCCCCUUCCCCAUCGCAAAGCCGCUGCCGCUGCCACUAUUUUCGAAGACAUCCGAUGGAUGGGCGCUAUCCGUCGGUGCGUUGGCCCUGCGCCUCCUCUGCUUCUUCCUCCUUCCCCACCGUAAAGCAGCUGACGCUCCUUCACCCUCCGCCACCAACGCUGAUUCAGCCUCCGCUACGACGCUGCUUCAGCCUCCGCCGACACGCUGCUUAAGCCUCCGCUGGGGUAUGCGUUGCUUCAGCCGCCGCUGCCGAUAUUUCAUCAGCCCGUGACGUGUGUUGCUGCUGACUGGUGUUGCUGCUACCGCUGUUGACGCCGAUGCCGACGCCGACGAUGCUGUCUGUAACGCCGACGCUGCUGUCUGCAGAAUGAUCGCUAAUUACAGCAGUCAUUCGUCCCUCCUUGUUCUCUUCGGCGUCGGUGACAGGUGCUACUGCCCCCAGUGGCGUUAAACCACGGCAUACCCCUUCUCCGUCAUCGACGAGGCCAUUGGCAUAUGUCUUCUUCGGUUGAGGAUGUCUCUCCUUGUUCUCCGGCAGCGCAGUGCACUUGGAGUUUAUGACGAGGUUCUUCGGCUGGUAAGAAUUUUGGCUUUGGUUUGUGUUGAAUUUGUACAAAUCAAUUAGAUUUGAGAUUGUCUUGAUCAAUUGUUUGAGAGUGUGUGUUUGGCUUACCUCCAUUGGAGUUUUGUUGAUUUCCUGCUCUGAUACCAUCUUAAAGAUGGUAAUCGAGAGAGAUAUAGAAAGAUUGGAUAGGCAUAUUGUUGUAGAAUGUAGAGAAAAUUGUAUUUCUGUUGUGAAUGUUUCUUGCUAUUGAUCUUGCCAA